ACCUACGGGAGGCAGCAGUAGGGAAUUUUCGUCAAUGGGCGCAAGCCUGAACGAGCAAUGCCGCGUGAACGAGGAAGGUCUUCGGAUCGUAAAGUUCUGUUGAAGGGGAAAAAGAGCGGAGAGAGGAAAUGGUCUCCGAUUGAUAUUACCCUUCGAGGAAGUCACGGCUAACUACGUGCCAGCAGCCGCGGUAAUACGUAGGUGGCGAGUGUUAUCCGGAAUGAUUGGGCGUAAAGGGUGCGUAGGCGGCCUGCUAAGUCUGGCGUGAAAGGUACCGGCUCAACCGGUACAGGCUCUGGAAACUG
RNAcentral lists this ribosomal RNA (305 nucleotides) under uncultured bacterium. RNAcentral's name for it is "bacterial SSU rRNA". It matches the Rfam family "Bacterial small subunit ribosomal RNA", at positions 337 to 635 of the family's 1533-position model. The record is from RNAcentral.